Molecule: ribosomal RNA, 3335 nt
Filed under: Olea europaea var. sylvestris
Lineage: Eukaryota; Viridiplantae; Streptophyta; Magnoliopsida; Lamiales; Oleaceae
Description: eukaryotic LSU rRNA
Rfam family: Eukaryotic large subunit ribosomal RNA
Source: RNAcentral
GUGAUUCCAGAUUAGGCGAUAUCACACACUGAGUUUAAGCAUAUCAAUAAGUGAAGGAAAAGAAACUUACAAGGAUUCCCCUAGUAACGGCAAGCGAACUGGGAAAAGCCCAACUUAAGAAUCGGAUGACCCUAUCAUUUGAAUUGUAGUAUGAAGAAGCAUCAUCAGCGGCAUACCGAGCUCAAGUCCCUUGGAGGGUGCCAAAGAGGGUGAGAGCCCCGUUGUACUCUGACCCUACCGUACCACGAGGCACUAUCAACGAGUCGGGUUGUUUGGGAAUACAGCCCCAAUCGGGCGAUAAAAUUUGUCCAAGGCUAAAUACAGGUGAGAGGCUGAUAGCGAACAAGUACUGCGAGGGAAAGAUGAAAAGAACUUUGAAAAAAGAUUCAAAGAGUGCUUGAAAUUAUCGGGAGAGAAGCGGAUGGGGGUCGACGAUGCGUCCCGAUCGGAUGUGGAACGGCGACGAGGCUGGUCCGUCAAUCGACUCGGGGCUUGGACUAGAACGAAUUAAGGAGAUGGCCAAAGCUAGGGCUGUCAACACACCUACGAAAUGUCAUCGUCUUGAUUGUGGUGGACAGCGCACACCUUCGACAUGCCUGGGCACCUGCGCACUCUUGAUGCUGGCCUGCUGUCUCCCCAUUCGACCAGUCUUAAAACACGGACCAAGGAGUCUGACAUGUGUGCGAGUAAACCCAUAAGGUGUAAGGAAGCUGAUUAGCAUGAUUUCUCCGAGGGGUACAACGUCGACCAACCUCGAUCUUUUGAGAAAGGUUUGAGUGUGAGCAUACCUAUCGGGACCCAAAAGAUGAUGAACAAUGCCUGAGCAGGAUGACGCUAAAGGAAACUCUGGUGGAGGACUGUAGUGAUACUGACGUGUAAAUCAUUUCUUUAACUUUGGUAUAGGGACAAAAGACUAAUCAAACCAUGUAGUAGCUGGUUCCCUCCGACAUUUCCCUCAGGAUAGCUGGAGCUCGAGCGCAAAUUCUAUCUGAGGUGCAACGCCCUCAACCUAUUCUCAAACUUUAAAUAGGUAGGAUGACAUGGAUGCUUCAUUGAGCUGUGCCACAAAGUCGAGAGCUCCAAGUGGGCCAUUUUUGGUAAGCAGAACUGGCGAUACGUGAUGAACCAAAAGUCGGGUUAGGGUGCCCAACUGUGCACUAACCUAGAUACCACAAAGGGUGUUGGUCGAUUAAGACAGCAGGAUGAUGGUCAUGGAAGUAGAAAUCCGCUAAGGAGUGUGUAACAACUCACUUAUCGAAUCAGCUAGCCCUGAGAAUAGAGGGUGCUGAAAUGCACGACCUAUUCUCCAUAGUCGGGACAAGUGCCUAGCCUUGAUGAGUUGGAGGGCACGGCGAUCGUUGUAAAACCUUAGGCGUGAGCCCGUGCGGAAUGGCCAUCGGUAUGGGUCUUGGUAGUAGUAGCAAAUAUUCAAAUGGGAAUUUUGAAAUCCGAAGAGGGGAAUGGUUCCCAGUGAACUACAAUUGCACACUAGUUAGUCAAUCCUAAGGGUCAGGAGAAGCCCGACAGACAGCGCGUUUCACGUAUGUACCGAAAGGAAAUUCAGUUAAAAUUCCUUAAUAGGGACGCGGUGGUUGACGGCAAUGUUAGGGAGUCCGAAGAUGUCGAUGGGGGCCUUGGGAAGAGUUAUUUUUUUCUAUUUAACAGCCUGCCCACCUUGGAAAUGGCUCAGUUGGAGGUAUGGUCCAGCAACAGGAAGAGCACCCCACAUCUAGUGGUGUCCAGUACGUCCCCGACGGCCCUUGAAAAUUCUGAGGAUUGAGUACCGUCCAUGCAUGAUCGUAUGCAUAAUCACAUCAGGUCUCCAAGGUGAACAGCCUCUGAUCAAUGGAAAAUGUAGGCAAGAGAAGCCGACAAAAUGGAUCCAUAACUUCAGGAAAAGGAUUGGCUUUAAGGGCUGGGCACGGGGGUCCCAAUCUCGAACCCGUCGACUGUCGGUGGACUGCUCAAGCUGCUCCCACGGUAAGAGCGAGCCACUGUGUGUCGAUCGAGGAAUGGACUGGGAAUGAAUCCUUUGGGGGCCUUCUCUGGGCAUUGAACAGUAGACUCAGAACCAGUACAGACAAGGAGAAUCCAAUUAUUUAAUUAAAACAAAGCAUUGCGAUGGUCCCUGUGGAUGCUCACGCAAUGUGAUUUCUACCUAGUGCUCUAAAUGUCAAAGUGAAGAAAUUCAAUUAAGCGAGGCUAAACGACGGUAGUAACUAUGACUUUCUUAAGGUAGCCAAAUGCCUCAUCAUCUAAUUAGUGAUGCACAUGAAUGGAAUAAUGAGAUUCCCACUGUCCCUGUCUACUAUCCAAUGUAACCACAACCAAAGAAGCAGGCUUAGCAGAAUCAACGAGAAAAGAAGACCCUGUUGAGCUUGACUCUAGUCCGACUUGGUGAAAUGACUUGAGACGUAUAGGAUUAGUGGGAGCCAAAAGGCAAAAGUAAAAUACCACUACUUUUAACAUUAUUUUACUUAUUUUGUGAAUUAGAGGAGGGGACAUUGCCCCUCUUUUUCCACCCAAGGCUCGCUUUGCGGGCCGAUCCUGGCAGAAGACAUUGUCAGGUGGUGAGUUUGGCUGGGAUGACACAUCUAUUAAAAGAUAACAUAGGUGUCCUAAGAUGAGCUCAACAAGAACAGAAAUCUCGUGUGGAUCAGAAGGGUAAAAGCUUGUUUGAUUUUGAUUUUGAUUUCCAGUACAAAUAUGAACCGUGAAAGCAUGGCCUAACGAUCCUUUAGACCUUCAAAAUUUAAACCUAGAGGUGUUAAAAAAGUUACCACAGGGAUAAUUAGCUUGUGGCAGCCAAGCAUUCAUAGCGAUGUUACUUUUUAAUCCUUCGAUGUCGGCUCUUCCUAUCAUUGUGAAGUAGAAUUCUCCAAGUGCUGGAUUGUUCAUGCACCAAUAGGUAACGUGAGCUAGGUUUAGACUAUCAUGAGACAGGUUAGUUUUAACCUACCGAUGAAAGUGUUGCAAUAGUAAUUUAACCUAGUACGAGAGGAACUGCUGAUUCGUAUAAUUGGUCAUUGUGCAUGGUUAAAAAGCCAAUGACGUGAAGCUCCCUGCGCUAGAUUAUGACUGAAUACCUCUAAGUUAGGAUUCGAGCUAGAACCGAUGCACACAACCUCCGUCCACUUGCCGACCCGCAGUAUGGGCCUUACGGUCCCCAGGGACACAUGUCAUUGGCCAAGCCCUCAUAGCGAACGUGCUGCAUUGGUCAUCUUGAAGUACAAUUUCCAUCGAGUGGUGGGUAGAAUCCUUUGCAGACGACUUAAAUACCUGAUGGGGUAUUGUAAGCGGCAAAGUGGCCUCGCUGCCAAGAUCUACUGAGAUUU